RNAcentral lists this ribosomal RNA (713 nucleotides) under uncultured fungus. RNAcentral describes it as "SSU rRNA". It matches the Rfam family "Eukaryotic small subunit ribosomal RNA", at positions 333 to 1050 of the family's 1831-position model. Lineage: Eukaryota; Fungi. The record is from RNAcentral.
AUAGAGGCCUACCAUGGUGGUAACGGGUAACGGGGUGUUAGGGCACGACACCGGAGAGGGAGCCUGAGAAACGGCUACCACAUCCAAGGAUGGCAGCAGGCGCGCAAAUUACCCAAUCCCGACACGGGGAAGUAGUGACAAUAAAUAACAAUACGGGGUUCUUUCGGAUCUCGUAAUUGGAAUGAGUACAAUUUAAAUCUCUUAACGAGGAACAAUUGGAGGGCAAGUCUGGUGCCAGCAGCCGCGGUAAUUCCAGCUCCAAUAGCGUAUAUUAAAGUUGUUGCAGUUAAAAAGCUCGUAGUUGAAUUUCGGGGUUAGUAGGUUGGUCAUGCCUCUGGUAUGUACUGGUCUCACUGAUUCCUCCUUCCUGAUGAACCGUAAUGCCAUUAAUUUGGUGUUGCGGGGAAUUUGGACUGUUACUUUGAAAAAAUUAGAGUGUUUAAAGCAAGCUAACGCUUGAAUACAUUAGCAUGGAAUAAUGAAAUAGGACGUUCGAUCCUAUUUUGUUGGUUUCUAGGAUUGACGUAAUGAUUAAUAGGGAUAGUUGGGGGCAUUAGUAUUCAAUUGUCAGAGGUGAAAUUCUUGGAUUUAUUGAAGACUAACUACUGCGAAAGCAUUUGCCAAGGAUGUUUUCAUUAAUCAAGAACGAAAGUUAGGGGAUCGAAGACGAUCAGAUACCGUCGUAGUCUUAACCAUAAACUAUGCCGACUAGG